AGUAGAAUGGCUGAGAUAUGAAGGUGAUAGAUUGUAAAUCUAUAUAGGAGUAUAUUACUCUUUUACUA
This 68-nucleotide transfer RNA is filed under the name Centrocolumna ericea. Its description in RNAcentral is "tRNA-Tyr". It matches the Rfam family "tRNA". Rfam says of the family: Transfer RNA (tRNA) molecules are approximately 80 nucleotides in length. Lineage: Eukaryota; Metazoa; Arthropoda; Insecta; Blattodea; Blattellidae. The record is from RNAcentral.